Molecule: ribosomal RNA, 328 nt
Filed under: Chaetoceros curvisetus
Lineage: Eukaryota; Bacillariophyta; Thalassiosirophyceae; Chaetocerotales; Chaetocerotaceae
Description: partial Bacterial small subunit ribosomal RNA
Rfam family: Bacterial small subunit ribosomal RNA
Source: RNAcentral
GGCGGAACUCCAGGUGUAGCGGUGAAAUGCGUAGAUAUCUGGAAGAACACCGAUGGCGAAGGCAACCUCCUGGGCCUGUUUUGACGCUGAGGCACGAAAGCGUGGGUAGCAAACAGGAUUAGAUACCCUGGUAGUCCACGCCGUAAACGAUGAGAACUUGACGUUGGUUUGCUUAGCAAAUCGGUGUCGUAGCUAACGCGAUAAGUUCUCCGCCUGGGGAGUACGGCCGCAAGGUUGAAACUCAAAGGAAUUGAUGGGGGCCCGCACAAGCGGUGGAUUAUGUGGUUUAAUUCGAUGAUACGCGAGGAACCUUACCAAGACUUAAAUG